AUUGAACGCUGGCGGCAUGCUUUACACAUGCAAGUCGAACGGCAGCGCGGGUUUCGGCCUGGCGGCGAGUGGCGAACGGGUGAGUAAUACAUCGGAACGUGCCCAGUAGUGGGGGAUAGCUCGGCGAAAGCCGGAUUAAUACCGCAUACGACCUGAGGGUGAAAGCGGGGGAUCUUCGGACCUCGCGCUAUUGGAGCGGCCGAUGGCAGAUUAGCUAGUUGGUGGGGUAAAGGCCUACCAAGGCGACGAUCUGUAGCUGGUCUGAGAGGACGACCAGCCACACUGGGACUGAGACACGGCCCAGACUCCUACGGGAGGCAGCAGUGGGGAAUUUUGGACAAAGGGCGAAAGCCUGAUCCAGCAAUGCCGCGUGUGUGAUGAAGGCCUUCGGGUUGUAAAGCACUUUUGGCGGGAACGAAAAGGACUGUGCCAAUACCACGGUUCGAUGACGGUACCCGCAGAAUAAGCACCGGCUAACUACGUG
This 484-nucleotide ribosomal RNA is filed under the name uncultured bacterium. RNAcentral's name for it is "partial 16S ribosomal RNA". It matches the Rfam family "Bacterial small subunit ribosomal RNA", at positions 29 to 507 of the family's 1533-position model. The record is from RNAcentral.